RNAcentral lists this ribosomal RNA (420 nucleotides) under uncultured Prevotella sp. RNAcentral describes it as "bacterial SSU rRNA". It matches the Rfam family "Bacterial small subunit ribosomal RNA", at positions 108 to 524 of the family's 1533-position model. The record is from RNAcentral. Lineage: Bacteria; Pseudomonadati; Bacteroidota; Bacteroidia; Bacteroidales; Prevotellaceae.
GAGUAAACGCGUAUCCAACCUGCCCUUUUACUUGGGGAUAACCCGUUGAAAGACGGACUAAUACCCAAUGAUAUUCAUUGAUGACAUCUGAUUUGAAUUAAAGAUUUAUCGGUAUAGGAUGGGGAUGCGUCUGAUUAGCUUGUUGGUGAGGUAACGGCUCACCAAGGCACGAUCCAGUAGGGGUUCUGAGAGGAAGGUCCCCCACAUUGGAACUGAGACACGGUCCAAACUCCUACGGGAGGCAGCAGUGAGGAAUAUUGGUCAAUGGACGAGAGUCUGAACCAGCCAAGUAGCGUGCAGGAUGACGGCCCUAUGGGUUGUAAACUGCUUUUGUUUGGGAAUAAUCGACAUUACGUGUAAUGUUUUGCAUGUACCAUUCGAAUAAGGACCGGCUAAUUCCGUGCCAGCAGCCGCGGUAAU